GACGAACGCUGGCGGCGUGCUUAACACAUGCAAGUCGAACGGAAAGGCCCUGCUUGCUGGUUGCUCGAGUGGCGAACGGGUGAGUAACACGUGGGUGAUCUGCCCUGCACUUCGGGUUACGCCUGGGAAACUGGGUCUAAUACCGGAUAGGCGCCAGUUUUAGUGUGAUGGUUGGAAAGUUUUUUCGGUGUAGGAUGAGCUCGCGGCGUAUCAGCUUGUUGGUGGGGUAAUGGCCUACCAAGGCGGCGACGGGUAGCCGGCCUGAGAGGGUGGACGGCCACCCUGGGACUGAGAUACGGCCCAGAUGCCUACGGGAGGCAGCAGUGGGGAAGAUUGCACAAUGGGCGCAAGCCUGAUGCAGCGACGCCGCGUGGGGGAUGACGGCCUUCGGGUUGUAAACGCCUUUCGCUAGGGACGAAGCUUUUUGUGACGGUACCUAGAGAAGAAGCACCGGCUAACUACGUG
Molecule: ribosomal RNA, 465 nt
Filed under: uncultured bacterium
Lineage: Bacteria
Description: partial 16S ribosomal RNA
Rfam family: Bacterial small subunit ribosomal RNA
Source: RNAcentral